RNAcentral lists this ribosomal RNA (496 nucleotides) under uncultured bacterium. RNAcentral's name for it is "partial 16S ribosomal RNA". It matches the Rfam family "Bacterial small subunit ribosomal RNA", at positions 29 to 507 of the family's 1533-position model. The record is from RNAcentral.
AUGAACGCUGGCGGCGUGCCUAAUACAUGCAAGUCGAGCGAACGGACGAGAAGCUUGCUUCUCUGAUGUUAGCGGCGGACGGGUGAGUAACACGUGGAUAACCUACCUAUAAGACUGGGAUAACUUCGGGAAACCGGAGCUAAUACCGGAUAAUAUUUUGAACCGCAUGGUUCAAAAGUAAAAGACGGUCUUGCUGUCACUUAUAGAUGGAUCCGCCCUGCAUUAGCUAGUUGGUAAGGUAACGGCUUACCAAGGCAACGAUGCAUAGCCGACCUGAGAGGGUGAUCGGCCACACUGGAACUGAGACACGGUCCAGACUCCUACGGGAGGCAGCAGUAGGGAAUCUUCCGCAAUGGGCGAAAGCCUGACGGAGCAACGCCGCGUGAGUGAUGAAGGUCUUCGGAUCGUAAAACUCUGUUAUUAGGGAAGAACAUAUGUGUAAGUAACUGUGCACAUCUUGACGGUACCUAAUCAGAAAGCCACGGCUAACUACGUG